CAGGCCUAACACAUGCAAGUCGAGCGCGUAGCAAUACGAGCGGCAGACGGGUGAGUAACACGUGGGAAUCUACCUUUUGCUACGGAACAACUCUGGGAAACUGGAGCUAAUACCGUAUGUGCCCUUUGGGGGAAAGAUUUAUCGGCAAGAGAUGAGCCCGCGUCGGAUUAGCUAGUUGGUGGGGUAAAGGCCUACCAAGGCGACGAUCCGUAGCUGGUCUGAGAGGAUGAUCAGCCACACUGGGACUGAGACACGGCCCAGACUCCUACGGGAGGCAGCAGUGGGGAAUAUUGGACAAUGGGGGCAACCCUGAUCCAGCCAUGCCGCGUGAGUGAUGAAGGCCCUAGGGUUGUAAAGCUCUUUUACCCGGGAUGAUAAUGACAGUACCGGGAGAAUAAGCUCCGGCUAACUCCGUGCCAGCAGCCGCGGUAAU
This 433-nucleotide ribosomal RNA is filed under the name uncultured bacterium. Its description in RNAcentral is "bacterial SSU rRNA". It matches the Rfam family "Bacterial small subunit ribosomal RNA", at positions 43 to 524 of the family's 1533-position model. The record is from RNAcentral.